CAAUAGCGUAUAUUUAAGUUGCUGCAGUUAAAAAGCUCGUAGUUGGAUUUCGGGUGGGAAUGGCCGGUCCGCCGUUUCGGUGUGCACUUGCUACGCCCACCUUGCUGCCGGGGACGUGCUCUUGAGUUCACGCUCGGGACACGGAGUCGGCGAGGUUACUUUGAGUAAAUUAGAGUGUUCAAGGCAGGCCUACGCUCUGAAUACAUUAGCAUGGAAUAACACGAUAGGACUCUGGCCUAUCUUGUUGGUCUGUAGGACCGGAGUAAUGAUUAAGAGGGACAGUCGGGGGCAUUCGUAUUUCAUUGUCAGAGGUGAAAUUCUUGGAUUUAUGAAAGACGAACUACUGCGAAAGCAUUUGCCAAGGAUGUUUUCAUUAA
This 377-nucleotide ribosomal RNA is filed under the name uncultured eukaryote. RNAcentral's name for it is "partial 18S ribosomal RNA". It matches the Rfam family "Eukaryotic small subunit ribosomal RNA", at positions 592 to 976 of the family's 1831-position model. The record is from RNAcentral.